This 462-nucleotide ribosomal RNA is filed under the name uncultured bacterium. Its description in RNAcentral is "partial 16S ribosomal RNA". It matches the Rfam family "Bacterial small subunit ribosomal RNA", at positions 28 to 507 of the family's 1533-position model. The record is from RNAcentral.
GAUAAACGCUGGCGGCGUGCUUAACACAUGCAAGUCGAACGAAGUUUUUCUUUCGGGAGGAACUUAGUGGCGGACGGGUGAGUAACGCGUGGGUAACCUGCCCUGUACAGGGGGACAACAGCUGGAAACGGCUGCUAAUACCGCAUAAGCCCUUAGCACUGCAUGGUGCAUAGGGAAAAGGAGCAAUCCGGUACAGGAUGGACCCGCGUCUGAUUAGCCAGUUGGCAGGGUAACGGCCUACCAAAGCGACGAUCAGUAGCCGAUCUGAGAGGAUGUACGGCCACAUUGGGACUGAGACACGGCCCAGACUCCUACGGGAGGCAGCAGUGGGGAAUAUUGCACAAUGGAGGAAACUCUGAUGCAGCGACGCCGCGUGAGUGAAGAAGUAUUUCGGUAUGUAAAGCUCUAUCAGCAGGAAAGAAAAUGACGGUACCUGACUAAGAAGCACCGGCUAAAUACGUG